RNAcentral lists this ribosomal RNA (427 nucleotides) under Leptodactylus colombiensis group sp. ABGD cluster 9. Its description in RNAcentral is "partial large subunit ribosomal RNA". It matches the Rfam family "Bacterial large subunit ribosomal RNA", at positions 1835 to 2457 of the family's 2925-position model. The record is from RNAcentral. Lineage: Eukaryota; Metazoa; Chordata; Amphibia; Anura; Leptodactylidae.
CUUGAAACCCAUAAGAGGUCCAGCCUGCCCAGUGACCCUGUUCAACGGCCGCGGUAUCCUAACCGUGCGAAGGUAGCGUAAUCAUUUGUUCUUUAAAUGAGGACUAGUAUGAAUGGCACCACGAGGGUUAUACUGUCUCCUUCCUCUAAUCAGUGAAACUAAUCUCCCCGUGAAGAAGCGGGGAUAAUCCUAUAAGACGAGAAGACCCUAUGGAGCUUUAAACACAGUAAUAAAUGCCCCCCCCCUUUUAUUCAAAUCUCCGGAAAACUACUUUAUCUGAGCAUCCUAAUUACAAGUUUUAGGUUGGGGUGACCGCGGAGUAAAAAAUAACCUCCACAGUGAAUGGGAUCUUUUUCCUAAACUCAGGGCCACAGCCCUAAAAAUCAAUAAAUUGACACCCAUUGACCCAAUAUUUUGAUCAAUGAAC